RNAcentral lists this ribosomal RNA (1074 nucleotides) under Triticum aestivum (bread wheat). Its description in RNAcentral is "partial small subunit ribosomal RNA". Lineage: Eukaryota; Viridiplantae; Streptophyta; Magnoliopsida; Poales; Poaceae. The record is from RNAcentral.
AUGAGGGAGAGGCCAGGCCUCUCCUUACCCGAGCCUUCCGUGCGCCUCCACCUCCUUGCCGGAGCAGCAGCAGCCGGCAACCACCAACGUCGGCGACCCUCCAGCCGCCCCUGCCGGCCUGCUACCUCCAGGCGCCCUUGCCGGCGACCAGCGCUGUCGUGGCCGUCCCCUCACCAGUGCCUUGGCCUCCUUCCUCGUGCACCUCUCCUGCUGCUGCACGCCACUGCCACUCUGCCCAGUGAACCUCCUCACCUCCCUUGCCCCACCGGAGCCCAAGUCCGGCGCCGCCUUGCCGCCGUCGAGCUGCGCCAUGUUCCUCUGCCUUCGCCCUGUUCACCGGAGUCCUUGCUUUGCGUCACCCCGCCGAGUCCCUUUGUUGGUGUGCCUCUACUAUGUUGCCGCCCAUGGAUCCACGCAUCGCUGCACUUGUCAUCGAACGUCGUGGCCUCUUCUGCUUCAGGCCGUGCCCAGCCCCGCGUCGACUUCCCUGGCAUCUUCUUCUGCGAGCACAACAACUGCAAGCCCUGCUGCCUUUGGUUACAGCCGGUUCAAUUUGUCAUGGUGGACACCGACGCCCGCAGAUUUUGGAUGCCAAGUUCCGUUUCAAAAUGUUUAACUACAUCCUAUGUAGAUUUCGACAAGUACCACGACGUCUGUCGAUCGCCAAGUACACCUUCGGAUCGCCAAGUUCCUUUUCAAAACGUACGACUACACGGCGUUGCGACAAGUACCCCGAUGGUCGGAGCCCUUGGAUCCGUCAAGUUCGUUUAUGAACCGAGAACAACUACCGUCUCCGAAGAACCGUGUAACGGAACCGCCAAGUUCGACUAUGACUCGUGUACGACUACGCGGGAUUCCUCGGACACAUGGGACACCCGGUAUCCGGGAGCGCCCCACCUUCUGUUGCUCGCUCCCUCCACUUUCUUUUGCACCGGUAUCUCUAUGAGCUACCGGAACCGAUAUGUUCUCGUGGCAUCACUUUCGGAUUCGUUGUCGUGGCACCCCUUUCGUUUCCGCCAUGAUGACAAAUGCCUCAUAUCUUAUCAUGCCAACAUUUUCAUAAAUAUUGCAUAA